RNAcentral lists this ribosomal RNA (253 nucleotides) under uncultured bacterium. RNAcentral's name for it is "partial 16S ribosomal RNA". It matches the Rfam family "Bacterial small subunit ribosomal RNA", at positions 524 to 776 of the family's 1533-position model. The record is from RNAcentral.
UACGUAGGGUGCGAGCGUUGUCCGGAAUUACUGGGCGUAAAGAGCUCGUAGGUGGUUUGUCGCGUUGUCCGUGAAAACUCACAACUCAAUUGUGGGCGUGCGGGCGAUACGGGCAGACUGGAGUACUGCAGGGGAGACUGGAAUUCCUGGUGUAGCGGUGGAAUGCGCAGAUAUCAGGAGGAACACCGGUGGCGAAGGCGGGUCUCUGGGCAGUAACUGACGCUGAGGCGCGAAAGCGUGGGGAGCAAACAGG